GGGUUGGUUUCCGCUGAGCUCAGCUCAAGGGUUGCAAAAGGUUUUGUAGUGCUGCCGAUGUUCUGGGUCUUUUAUUCAUCGGGUUUGCAUCAACAGCUGAGGUCCCACGAUGCUGAACAGAAUCUGGAUCUGCGCCUUCAUUUGCUGCAUCGUGGCUUUUGUGAGCAUUUUGGGAACCAAGGUGCCAACAGAAUUCCAAUAUGGCGAUAACGGUGCAUGGGGACCUGUCCAAAGUAGCGGAGCUGCAGGAUUUAUCCCAGCCAUUGCCAAGGUCCUGAUUCUGUCCCUUAUUCCAGUCUUCCUGCAGAGAGUUCUGUCUUAAUUCAGUGCUCGAGGUGGCCACUUCCAGCUGAUUCAUCCAUCUCCUUGGAGACCAUCCUGCUCUGCUCGCAUUCAAUCUCCAACUUUGAGUUCUCAGGAAUCGCCUAUUCUCUGCGCAACCCGUCGAUCAUCGACUGAGAUCUGCUUCACAUUCUUCACUCCCUCUCUCUCGCAGCCUAGCCUCCAACGUAUUUCCUGAAAAUAAUUUUGCCUGUGAAACAGCUGGAAUCCACAACUUCACUGUUAUCAAGUUCGGAGAAAAAAUAAUUGAAAGAACUAAAGUAUUGCAGAAGUCAUGGAACUGGAUGCCCUGCUGGAAGCUUAACAUUAUCUCUCUUCAUAUUUUACUAUUUCUAUUGUUUCCGUGUGAUAUGUUGGCAUUUGAUUUAAAGCCAUGUAAAAUUAGAGCAAUAAAAAAUAAAUAAUACUGUGCCGAUAAA
Molecule: long non-coding RNA, 761 nt
Organism: Amblyraja radiata (thorny skate)
Lineage: Eukaryota; Metazoa; Chordata; Chondrichthyes; Rajiformes; Rajidae
Exons: 2
Source: RefSeq, a predicted model, not a curated record